AUUGAACGCUGGCGGCAGGCCUAACACAUGCAAGUCGGGCGGUAGCACAGAGAGCUUGCUCUCGGGUGACGAGCGGCGGACGGGUGAGUAAUGUCUGGGAAACUGCCUGAUGGAGGGGGAUAACUACUGGAAACGGUAGCUAAUACCGCAUAACGUCGCAAGACCAAAGUGGGGGACCUUCGGGCCUCAUGCCAUCAGAUGUGCCCAGAUGGGAUUAGCUAGUAGGUGGGGUAAUGGCUCACCUAGGCGACGAUCCCUAGCUGGUCUGAGAGGAUGACCAGCCACACUGGAACUGAGACACGGUCCAGACUCCUACGGGAGGCAGCAGUGGGGAAUAUUGCACAAUGGGCGCAAGCCUGAUGCAGCCAUGCCGCGUGUGUGAAGAAGGCCUUCGGGUUGUAAAGCACUUUCAGCGGGGAGGAAGGCGAUAAGGUUAAUAACCUCAUCGAUUGACGUUACCCGCAGAAGAAGCACCGGCUAACUCCGUGCCAGCAGCCGCGGUAGUACGGAGGGUGCAAGCGUUAAUCGGAAUUACUGGGCGUAAAGCGCACGCAGGCGGUCUGUCAAGUCGGAUGUGAAAUCCCCGGGCUCAACCUGGGAACUGCAUUCGAAACUGGCAGGCUAGAGUCUUGUAGAGGGGGGUAGAAUUCCAGGUGUAGCGGUGAAAUGCGUAGAGAUCUGGAGGAAUACCGGUGGCGAAGGCGGCCCCCUGGACAAAGACUGACGCUCAGGUGCGAAAGCGUGGGGAGCAAACAGGAUUAGAUACCCUGGUAGUCCACGCCGUAAACGAUGUCGAUUUGGAGGUUGUGCCCUUGAGGCGUGGCUUCCGGAGCUAACGCGUUAAAUCGACCGCCUGGGGAGUACGGCCGCAAGGUUAAAACUCAAAUGAAUUGACGGGGGCCCGCACAAGCGGUGGAGCAUGUGGUUUAAUUCGAUGCAACGCGAAGAACCUUACCUGGUCUUGACAUCCACAGAACUUUCCAGAGAUGGAUUGGUGCCUUCGGGAACUGUGAGACAGGUGCUGCAUGGCUGUCGUCAGCUCGUGUUGUGAAAUGUUGGGUUAAGUCCCGCAACGAGCGCAACCCUUAUCCUUUGUUGCCAGCGGUCCGGCCGGGAACUCAAAGGAGACUGCCAGUGAUAAACUGGAGGAAGGUGGGGAUGACGUCAAGUCAUCAUGGCCCUUACGACCAGGGCUACACACGUGCUACAAUGGCAUAUACAAAGAGAAGCGACCUCGCGAGAGCAAGCGGACCUCAUAAAGUAUGUCGUAGUCCGGAUUGGAGUCUGCAACUCGACUCCAUGAAGUCGGAAUCGCUAGUAAUCGUAGAUCAGAAUGCUACGGUGAAUACGUUCCCGGGCCU
Molecule: ribosomal RNA, 1361 nt
Filed under: uncultured bacterium
Lineage: Bacteria
Description: bacterial SSU rRNA
Rfam family: Bacterial small subunit ribosomal RNA
Source: RNAcentral